AGACGCGUACGGUACGUACCUCAUACAGGGGGAUAACAGUUGGAAACGGCUGCUAAUACCGCAUAAGCGCACAGUACCGCAUGGUACCGUGUGAAAAACUCCGGUGGUAUGAGAUGGACCCGCGUCUGAUUAGCUAGUUGGUGGGGUAACGGCCUACCAAGGCGACGAUCAGUAGCCGACCUGAGAGGGUGACCGGCCACAUUGGGACUGAGACACGGCCCAA
This 223-nucleotide ribosomal RNA is filed under the name uncultured bacterium. Its description in RNAcentral is "partial 16S ribosomal RNA". It matches the Rfam family "Bacterial small subunit ribosomal RNA", at positions 111 to 334 of the family's 1533-position model. The record is from RNAcentral.